CACUAUCGUUAACUGAAUACAUAGGUUAACGAGGCGAACCGGGGGAACUGAAACAUCUAAGUACCCCGAGGAAAAGAAAUCAACCGAGAUUCCCCCAGUAGCGGCGAGCGAACGGGGAGCAGCCCAGAGUCUGAAUCAGCUUGUGUGUUAGUGGAACGGUCUGGAAAGUCCGACGGUACAGGGUGAUAGUCCCGUACACCAAAAUGCACAGGCUGUGAACUCGAAGAGUAGGGCGGGACACGUGGUAUCCUGUCUGAAUAUGGGGGGACCAUCCUCCAAGGCUAAAUACUCCUGACUGACCGAUAGUGAACCAGUACCGUGAGGGAAAGGCGAAAAGAACCCCGGCGAGGGGAGUGAAAAAGAACCUGAAACCGUGUACGUACAAGCAGUGGGAGCACCUUCGGGUGUGACUGCGUACCUUUUGUAUAAUGGGUCAGCGACUUAUAUUCUGUAGCAAGGUUAACCGUAUAGGGGAGCCGCAGGGAAACCGAGUCUUAACUGGGCGUUAAGUUGCAGGGUAUAGACCCGAAACCCGGUGAUCUAGCCAUGGGCAGGUUGAAGGUUGGGUAACACUAACUGGAGGACCGAACCGACUAAUGUUGAAAAAUUAGCGGAUGACUUGUGGCUGGGGGUGAAAGGCCAAUCAAACCGGGAGAUAGCUGGUUCUCCCCGAAAGCUAUUUAGGUAGCGCCUCGUGAAUUCAUCUUCGGGGGUAGAGCACUGUUUCGGCUAGGGGGUCAUCCCGACUUACCAACCCGAUGCAAACUACGAAUACCGAAGAAUGUUAUCACGGGAGACACACGGCGGGUGCUAACGUCCGUCGUGAAGAGGGAAACAACCCAGACCGCCAGCUAAGGUCCCAAAGUCAUGGUUAAGUGGGAAACGAUGUGGGAAGGCACAGACAGCCAGGAUGUUGGCUUAGAAGCAGCCAUCAUUUAAAGAAAGCGUAAUAGCUCACUGGUCGAGUCGGCCUGCGCGGAAGAUGUAACGGGGCUAAACCAUGCACCGAAGCUGCGGCAGCGACACUAUGUGUUGUUGGGUAGGGGAGCGUUCUGUAAGCCUGCGAAGGUGACCUGUGAGGGUUGCUGGAGGUAUCAGAAGUGCGAAUGCUGACAUAAGUAACGAUAAAGCGGGUGAAAAGCCCGCUCGCCGGAAGACCAAGGGUUCCUGUCCAACGUUAAUCGGGGCAGGGUGAGUCGACCCCUAAGGCGAGGCCGAAAGGCGUAGUCGAUGGGAAACAGGUUAAUAUUCCUGUACUUGGUGUUACUGCGAAGGGGGGACGGAGAAGGCUAUGUUAGCCGGGCGACGGUUGUCCCGGUUUAAGCAUGUAGGCUGGUUGUCCAGGCAAAUCCGGAUAAUCAAGGCUGAGGUGUGAUGACGAGGCACUACGGUGCUGAAGUAACAAAUGCCCUGCUUCCAGGAAAAGCCUCUAAGCAUCAGGUAACAUUAAAUCGUACCCCAAACCGACACAGGUGGUCAGGUAGAGAAUACCAAGGCGCUUGAGAGAACUCGGGUGAAGGAACUAGGCAAAAUGGUGCCGUAACUUCGGGAGAAGGCACGCUGGUGUGUAGGUGAAGUCCCUGCGGAUGGAGCUGAGACCAGUCGAAGAUACCAGCUGGCUGCAACUGUUUAUUAAAAACACAGCACUGUGCAAACACGAAAGUGGACGUAUACGGUGUGACGCCUGCCCGGUGCCGGAAGGUUAAUUGAUGGGGUUAUCCGUAAGGAGAAGCUCUUGAUCGAAGCCCCGGUAAACGGCGGCCGUAACUAUAACGGUCCUAAGGUAGCGAAAUUCCUUGUCGGGUAAGUUCCGACCUGCACGAAUGGCGUAAUGAUGGCCAGGCUGUCUCCACCCGAGACUCAGUGAAAUUGAACUCGCUGUGAAGAUGCAGUGUACCCGCGGCAAGACGGAAAGACCCCGUGAACCUUUACUAUAGCUUGACACUGAACAUUGAGCCUUGAUGUGUAGGAUAGGUGGGAGGCUUUGAAGCGUGGACGCCAGUCUGCGUGGAGCCAACCUUGAAAUACCACCCUUUAAUGUUUGAUGUUCUAACGUUGGCCCCUGACCGGGGUUGCGGACAGUGUCUGGUGGGUAGUUUGACUGGGGCGGUCUCCUCCCAAAGCGUAACGGAGGAGCACGAAGGUUAGCUAAUCCUGGUCGGACAUCAGGAGGUUAGUGCAAUGGCAUAAGCUAGCUUGACUGCGAGCGUGACGGCGCGAGCAGGUGCGAAAGCAGGUCAUAGUGAUCCGGUGGUUCUGAAUGGAAGGGCCAUCGCUCAACGGAUAAAAGGUACUCCGGGGAUAACAGGCUGAUACCGCCCAAGAGUUCAUAUCGACGGCGGUGUUUGGCACCUCGAUGUCGGCUCAUCACAUCCUGGGGCUGAAGUAGGUCCCAAGGGUAUGGCUGUUCGCCAUUUAAAGUGGUACGCGAGCUGGGUUUAGAACGUCGUGAGACAGUUCGGUCCCUAUCUGCCGUGGGCGCUGGAGAAUUGAGGGGGGCUGCUCCUAGUACGAGAGGACCGGAGUGGACGCAUCACUGGUGUUCGGGUUGUCAUGCCAAUGGCACUGCCCGGUAGCUAAAUGCGGAAGAGAUAAGUGCUGAAAGCAUCUAAGCACGAAACUUGCCCCGAGAUGAGUUCUCCCUGAGACUUUAAGUCUCCUGAAGGAACGUUGAAGACGACGACGUUGAUAGGCCGGGUGUGUAAGCGCAGCGAUGCGUUGAGCUAACCGGUACUAAUGAACCGUGAGGCUUAACCUU
This 2758-nucleotide ribosomal RNA is filed under the name Klebsiella pneumoniae. RNAcentral's name for it is "bacterial LSU rRNA". It matches the Rfam family "Bacterial large subunit ribosomal RNA". The record is from RNAcentral. Lineage: Bacteria; Pseudomonadati; Pseudomonadota; Gammaproteobacteria; Enterobacterales; Enterobacteriaceae.